GGGGGAGGUAUGGACCCGUUACAAGUCAGUUCCCAAGUUAAUCCCGCAGAUUUAGCUAACAAAUCUCGCAAGAAACUUGUAACCCUAACUGAUUCUGCGCACGCGCAGACCAUCCGCGCCACCACCGCGGACCGUCCGGCCUACAGGGCGGACUAUCCGCCUGCCCAAAAGUGGUCUCAACAAAGUGUUCUUCUGGAUGACUAACCCUUUGUUCACCUCACUGCAACCAAACCAACAUUGCUAUAGGUGAAUGGUACAGUUUGAAACAAAAAUAGAAAUCCUAUCUGAUGGGGAGAUUAGAUUCAGAUUCAAUGAAACAAUUGGGAUGUUGGGGAUCAAUGAGACGUGGGAGAUUGGCUGUGGGAUCCGGUGCGCAACACAUAGCAACGACACAACACACAAACCAAAUUAUUGGUUAAAUGAAAAGCGGAAAGCAGAAGGUAAUCAACAACAUGCCUUCUUAAGGCCCGAGAGUGAUCAGCGACAUACAUACCGAUGAUGAGGAGCACCUUCGUGACCUUGUAGCGAUUGCGGCAGUAAUAGACUCGGGGACCCUCCCACUUGUCGUUGUCCGCGUACCUGCCCAUC
This 588-nucleotide long non-coding RNA is filed under the name Zea mays. RNAcentral's name for it is "long non-coding RNA (ZMAY_LNC003281)". The record is from RNAcentral. Lineage: Eukaryota; Viridiplantae; Streptophyta; Magnoliopsida; Poales; Poaceae.